AUAAAUCAUACUGCUAAGCUCUGCCUUUUAUUAUCUUUAGGAAGAACACGAGAACAAGCCAAUUCUGUUGGAGCCGUGAUAAUGAGUAUCAAGGAAUCGAUGGGCAAUUGCUGAGGACAGGCUCUGAGAGAGAUGUGUGCUAAUCACGGUUGUGCCUGCUACACCUAUUUACAGUAUCAAGUCCUCUCAGAGAGCUCACAGUACUUUCUGGGGCCUGAGCUGCUUAAUAGGGGGCAGAAAUUUCCUUUUUCACAGUAGGAUGCUGGAUUUCAUUGGUGAAAGAUCUCUGGAUGGUCUCUUGUUGGAAGAAGAUCACUCAGGUCCUUUGAGGCAGCGAGGGAGCCCUCUGGGGCAGCAGGAUAGCGCAUCUGCCUGGGGACCCUCCCACUGCAGCUCCCCCUCCUCACUCCUGCACGAGUGUUUAUCUGGGACAGCUGGAGCCUUGCAAGGAGAAUGGUCACCUCCAGCUCUUCCUUUCCAGACUGCCUGCACAGCCUUUGGGUGUGCCUGAGGGCCGUGAUCUGCAAGGUCUCCACGCAGCCUUCUGAAGCCACCAAGGUGCAAAGCAGCUAAUGAUUAAACCUGCUUUCUCAGUUUUACUGCUGGAGAAAGGCUUCUGUGGCAAAGCACCGAGGACAGCACAAUCCUCUUUUCACAUCAAAAGAAUAUGCAGACACUCAAGGUAAAUACUGGCCUGCAUUGAGCACACUUAUUUCUGUGCUGCUAUCUAUUUACCCUGAUGGUUUCAGUGAACAGAGUUCCUCAGUCCUCUAAAGAGUUCUCAGCACAGUGGCCAAACAAACAAGGUAAUUUUAUGGGUUUUGUUUGUUUCUGUAAAAAAAAAAGCAACAGUGUGACUGAAAAAUACAAAGGAAAUGGAGCAGACAGUCAAGAAGGAACAAAGCAAGAGGGGAAAGAAAAUCAAAAGCAAGUAAUUGGCAGAGUCAGAAUUAGUUAUUUCCAUUAAUUCCAAAGUUCUUGCUUCCUUCUGCCAGCCUCAUUUGAUUGCUGGGCAACAGGGGCAGUUGCUACAGGUUUCCCUUUAGUUAAAAUGAUUUGUUUAUAAGAUGUAUUAUUUGUAAUAAACAUAAGGGUAUCACUUUGUAAAAACA
This 1112-nucleotide long non-coding RNA is filed under the name Zonotrichia albicollis (white-throated sparrow). RNAcentral describes it as "lncRNA (ENSZALG00000002424.1)". The record is from RNAcentral. Lineage: Eukaryota; Metazoa; Chordata; Aves; Passeriformes; Passerellidae.